This 994-nucleotide long non-coding RNA is filed under the name Mytilus galloprovincialis (Mediterranean mussel). Lineage: Eukaryota; Metazoa; Mollusca; Bivalvia; Mytilida; Mytilidae. The record is from RNAcentral.
AAAAGAAUACAAAUUCUAAUUUUGCUUAGCCUGCAGGACAAAUUCCUGUAGGUCUUCGUGAUGAAAUUCUUUAACCUAAUAUGAUAAAUCUUUAAAGUGGAUUAUCAGCUUAGACCAUAUUAAACAAAUUCUUUGGUCAAUCUUGAACAAAAGUCUCAGCCAAGUGUUGUGUAAACAAAUGAAUGUGGAUUAAAAAGAGGCACACGGUCAUUUCAACUUUUUAAUGUGCAGGGUUGGACUUUCGAUAAUCCAGAUUAAAAAGUGGACCACACGCAUGUCUUAAAAGGAUGCAUUCUUUUCUUUUAUUAUUAACUGGUGCAAAGUUUGAAUUUAUUAUUAGAUCUAUGCUGCAAUAAGAUAAACUAAAUCAUACAUGUAAGAAGGGUCAUAACCUGUGUCACAUGAUAUUUCAUUGGUUUCUUGUAAUUUCAUGCGACUUUUCGAGAAAUUUGUUCAGAAAAUGGUUUUCUUUUUUAGAGCAGUAACAGAUUUUGUGGAAUGAAUGAAGAAAAAGAACUCAGACUUUAACAGAGAUAUAGGUGUGUAAUAAAUGUAUUUAGAGACUUAUAAGUUACUAAGGUGCAAAUCAUUUUAUAAAUAUUUAAACAGAACUUUGUUUUUAGUUACGGUAGGAGUGCAAUUUCAAAGCAGAGCAUGCAUACCUAUAUCUAUAAUUGGAAAAAAAAGAAGAAAAAGAAAAUCCAUUAAUUGAGUAUUUACAAAAUAAACUGCAAGUAUUUUUUUCAUAUUUUCAAUUUUAAAAAUUCUUUUAUACAGAGUCAAAGAUAUAUUUAAUGGUUUGUGCCUUAGUAUGUUUCUUUUACAUGAAUUUAAGUGAUAAUACGAAGUCCUAAUUAUUAUAACCCCAACUUACUGAUCCCUUUGCAUAUAGUUUCCUGGACAACAUUCUUAACUAAAGCCUUGGGUUUUGUCAAAAACAAAGUUGUUGGGUUUGGAAAUCUUAUUUGUCACUCAGUAAAUGAAUCAUAACCCA